UUCGGCUCUUCUGCUCUGGGGGAGGAGACUCAGAGAACCUGGCAGGAUCUGGAGUGCCUUCGGCAGCUCGGACCACCUUCAGGAGCAUCUGUGAGCAGGACAAACAGACGGGUAAUUAUUAAAGGUGCUGCUGCUGGACCCUCAGAAACAAAGCCCCCAGCUAUGCUGUUUCUGGAGACAACAGGAGCAGGUGGAGCACUCAGAAUGCAGCAGUGAUCAGGAUCACCAGAGACUGGAUGAGUAUCUGACUGGACACUGCAGCAGGUGGCAGGAGAGACCAGGUGAAGAAGAACUGAGGGUUUGACCUUCUGCUGAAUUCUGAAAGUCAGGCUGGGCCAUCGUUCUCCUGAUGCUGUAUCAGGAAUCUGUCGUGUUUAUGCAGACUGGCUUUAGGAGGAGGCUCUUCACCCACCACAGGAAAAUGCUAAACUAUGCCAUGGGCCAUGAAGAGCCCAGAGAGCAGAAGAGUGAAAGCAGGGAGGAGUCCAUCCUGGCCUUCCUAGGAAUUGCUGGAACCAUCCUCAACCUCCUGGUCAUCAUCUUCGUCUACAUCUACACCUCCAUUUGAACAAAAUCCAUUUCAUUGUAAGUGAUGCAGAUCAAUCUGGACUAUGGAACAGACAGACUACCCCCCACUGGGGGCUAUGGACAGUUCCUGGACAUCAGAACAACUCAACCUGUUAUUUUAGUGGGUUAUUUAUAUUUUAGUUAAUUGGAGACCACAUAGCCUGUUCUUACUGUUCAUAUUUUUGUUCUGACAUUCAUAUGGCCAAGCACAACAUCUCUGUAAACAUUUUGAAACUGCUUUUGGAUGAUUUUCUAAAUGAUCCUGUUUCUUAGCUUUUAGAGGUCAAAUUAAAGCUUAUAUUCUGAAAACA
Colossoma macropomum (tambaqui) is the source of this 878-nucleotide long non-coding RNA. RefSeq lists it as uncharacterized. The transcript is spliced from 3 exons. NCBI's taxonomy places the organism in Eukaryota, Metazoa, Chordata, Actinopteri, Characiformes, Serrasalmidae. The record is from RefSeq and is a predicted model, not a curated record.